ACGUAGGGUGCGAGCGUUAAUCGGAAUUACUGGGCGUAAAGCGUACGCAGGCGGUUCAUUAAGUCAGAUGUGAAAGCCCCGGGCUCAACCUCGGAACGGCAUUUGUAACUGGUGAACUAGAGUGCUGUAGAGGGGGGUAGAAUUUCAGGUGUAGCGGUGAAAUGCGUAGAGAUGUGAAGGAAUACCAGUGGCGAAGGCGGCCCCCUGGACAGAUACUGACACUCA
This 225-nucleotide ribosomal RNA is filed under the name uncultured prokaryote. RNAcentral describes it as "partial 16S ribosomal RNA". It matches the Rfam family "Bacterial small subunit ribosomal RNA", at positions 525 to 749 of the family's 1533-position model. The record is from RNAcentral.